AGAACAGGAUUUCUGAGCAUGCAGUCAUAACUCUAGGUCAUUCAUUAAUUUCAGGCCCUGCUAGCAGAUACCAAGGAUGACAGUGAAAACAGUCACACGGAAGAAGGAGGGAGGGAGGACCGUGCACUACAAAGAACUCUUUUACACCGAGUUGAGAAAUCAUCGGGUUGUUAGAAUUGGACAGAACAUUUAACUCCCAUUCCUUUAUCAUCUAAAAUCUGAUAUCAUGUCAUUUGGUUCACUUCCUACAAAUAAUUACCUUUUGGCUACAUCAAGGUUAUAAUGAUAAGUUAUCAUUUCGGAGCCCAGACUACAGCCCUCGAACCAAGCUAAGUGACUUAAGUGUGCCAUCUCAUUUAACCCCCACAAAGAUUAUACUUGGCCAGGCUGAUAUCACUUAUUUCAUUUCACAGAUGAGGAUAUUGAUCUCAUGGUCACAAAGCUAGUAAACGGCCGAGAAUCACGCCUCGGUCUGUCCAGCUUCAAAACCUGGAUCCAUCACCAUGACACGCUGCUGAAUGAGGCCCGGGUUCGAGAGUAUCACACUUUAAAAAUAUCAUGAUGCAGAUGAGGAUGUGGUACAGUGAUGACUACCAUGUACACAGUACAUUCUAGACACACACUGUCCCCAAGUGCUUCUCUGCAUCUUCACUUAGUCCCCACUGCAACCCCAUGAGGCCAGCACUGUGACUGGAGGAUGCUGAGAGCAGUGAGGUGAAAUAAGCUGCCCGGCGUCACACAGCUGGGAACUGGCAGAAUUGGGAUUCCAGCUCAGGGAAGCGCCCAUGCUCUUAACUCUUAGGCUACACUGCCUGGCUCUUGGGUGGGGGAUCACUGCAGACAGAGUUAAGCUUUGGUGUGUGGGGGGCGGGGGAGGCAGGGGGAGGGGCAGGUGCUUCAAAGAUGGAAGGGAACACAGAGAAGGGACUUUGCCAACUAAUAUUAGCACAAGUCACAUACUGAGACGAAGGUUUUAAAGAGGAUUUUUUUCCCCCGCUAUUUGAGUUCAUGAGAAGAGUUUGUUACCUAUUGAACAAAUAGUCUUCACUAAUAAAGAACAAUGUGACAAGAAGUCAGCACUGUUCUUAGAUAACUGGGGACACAGGGAGGGCACUCCAGUGUUCCCAUGGAAGGAAUGAAUUCGGGCACAGUCCGUCCCGUGCAACUCCCCUAGGGAGAGAAGGGGCAACUGGAUUCCUCUCGACAAACUAGAAACUUUGUGACAAUGACAAGCUGUUCCCACCCCGGCCCUCCCCUAGGAUGCUGGAGAGCCCAGAGAGGGAAGAGAAGAAACCCAGCGUUGGUGCGGUGCCCACCGCGGACUCGACUUCAUUCCACCUUCACGCUGAGAGGCCAAGAUACCUAGAGAGAGUUCGCGGGGCCGGAGGCUCCCUGCUGUCUCCUGCAAGUGCGUGGGGGUGGGGUCUGAUUUCCACCCGUGUUGGACGUCAGCGGCCUCCGACGCUUUUUGGAAGCAGACUUUUCAGGAACACCUGCUGUGUGGCCGGCACUGUAGUAGGUGCCAGGGAUACAAAGAAGAAACUUUCAGGGCUCUUAGGAAGACAGGAAAACAAGUCAAUCAGCAAUGGUCCUAGCGUGACUUUUCAGGAACACCUGCUGUAAGCCUGGCACUGUGGUAGGUGCCAGGGAUAUAAAGAAGAAAAUUUCAGGGGUUUUAGGAAGACAGCCAAACAAGUCAAUCAGCCAUGACCCUAUCAUGAUGAGGAAACUGAGGUUCUGAAUGAUUAGAUGACUCACCCGAUAUCACACAGCUGGUAAGCACGUGAACCAGGAUGAGAAACCCAGGCUAUCUAUGCCAGUGCCCAGUUAACCAGUUCACCAGAACACCAGAAGCCGCCCCCAGGGCUGCAAGCUGACCAUGCCUGGGACACAGGAGGUUGCAGUGGUGAAGAUCAACAGGCGGGGCGAGGAGCAUCUCCGUCUCCCUCUGAAGACCAUUUGGAAGAGGGUGUGAGAGCUGCCGCCAGGCUUUCCCAGAGAACAGCUGGGCCUGGAAGGGGCGGUCCAGGUCCCAUAAUAACUGCUACCUGCUGCUGCAGCAAUUUUCCCUGCUGGGUGUUUCCAAGUCCGAGUCUCCUGGGGGAGGAGGCUGGGAGGAGGAGGAGGAGGAGGGCUGAUUCUCUAAACUCCCCCUGCUUCUCACCAAAGGUCUGUCCUUGGCCCAGCUUCCCUUCCGAAGGUUGAGUAAUCUCAAAAAAUUGCAGCCUGGCAUGAAAGAGCAGGCCUGCAGGCCAAGCCAGAUCACGUCCGCACGCGGGAUGCUUGGCCCACAUGCUCCUGUACACUUGUAACUGUUAAACCAGAGGACAAGAAGCAACAGAUGUCCUCAGAUCACCAAACCAGCAAAUGCGCAGAGCCAUGGUGGGCGUCUGGCCCCAGUGCUUGGGUGGCCCCUAACAUCAGAUUAAGGAAAAAAGACCUCUCCUCAGCUGGAACGUCCCACUUCCUCCUCCCUCCUCCUCACCAGUAUUUUUCUCUCUGCUUUGCCUGGAUUGGAGUCCUGACCUGGCUACUCCCAGCUGUGUGAACUGGGCCAGCAACUUAGCUCCGUUGUGCCUCAGUUUCUCCAUCUCUAAAUGAAGCGCUUAUUCCUCUCUCAUGGAGCCGUCGUGAGAAUUACGUGAAUGAAUACAGGCUGACUACUUUGAACAGUGCCUGGUACGUAAAGCCCUGUACACUGUAGCUUUUGCUGAUGGUGGUAGACACUCUGCUAUUUAGAGAGGUGUUCUUUCUCUCGAGGCUUUGAUUCCUGCUAAAACAGAAAUCAUUUGGAAAUGGACACUUUUUCUGCCAUUUAGAGAGGUAUUCUUUGUCUUGAGCCUUUGAUUCCUGUUAAAAUAGAAAUGAUUCAAAAAUGAA
RNAcentral lists this long non-coding RNA (2880 nucleotides) under Homo sapiens (human). RNAcentral's name for it is "HSALNT0387430". The record is from RNAcentral. Lineage: Eukaryota; Metazoa; Chordata; Mammalia; Primates; Hominidae.